Molecule: long non-coding RNA, 1352 nt
Filed under: Equus caballus (horse)
Lineage: Eukaryota; Metazoa; Chordata; Mammalia; Perissodactyla; Equidae
Description: lncRNA (ENSECAG00000045295.1)
Source: RNAcentral
GUGCCCCACACUUGAAAGUAUGGAAGAGAAAGCGUGAGGCUGGAGGGUGCUCCGUUCGUUCCCUCCUUCCACAGAAAGUCUGGAGAGUUGACUUUGGGACAAGUCCUUCCUUUCCUCUGGUCGGUGCGUGUUCAGUGGCCUGGACACUUGGUGAGCAGGACUGACAGGGUGUUUGACGUACUGGACCUCACAGCCCGGUUGGAAAGGACAGACAGGCAGCAACCAAUUGCCUAGGAGAUACGUAAAGGCAAUUUUGUGUUGAGUGUUGAGAACUACGGCAUUUCCUGUUAGCCUUUGUGACUCAGGCAGUGAUGUGGAAGCUGAGAGCAGAUGCCUAAAAGACAAGGAGGACUUGUGCGGGAGAGUGUUGGGACAGGGCACGGGAGGAGUAUGGCCUGUCAGAGGAGCUGAAAGAAUGCCCUGGAGACUGGGGCCGCCGCGUAGGGACUGUAGGGUGGGGAAAACAAAACUUUUCGAUUGAGGCUGGCGCUUUCUGUAGGUUUUUGGAGACUGAGCGUGGUGAUUCAGAACGUGGCCUCUGGAGCCAGACUCUGUCACAUGGGUCCUGGCUCUGCCACCUACGGGCUGUGUGAACUUGGGCAAGUUACUGUACCAUUCUGGGUGCAUGUGUCUUUCUGCAUUGGUGUUUUCAAGUUCUUUGGAUGAAUAGCCAGCAGUGGGCUAGCUGGAUCAUACACAUGGUAGAUGUAUUCUUAGUUUUCUGAGGAUACUCCAUCCUGCUUUCCAUAGUUGGCUGCACCAGUCUGCCCUCCCGCCAGCAGUGCAGGAGAGUUCCCUUCUCUCCACAUCCUCUCCGACACUUGUCUCUUGUCUUGUUAAUGAGAGCCAUUCUGACCAGAGUAAGGUGACAUCUCCUUGUAGUUGUGAUUUGCAUUUCUCUGAUCGCUAAUGAUGUUGAGUCCCUUUCCAUAUGCCUGUUGGCCAUCCGUAUACCUUCUUUGGAGAAAUCACUGCUCAGAUCUUUUGCCCGCCUUUUUAAUUGGGUUGUUGAUUUCUUUUGCUGUUGAGAUGUAUGAGUUCUUUCUGUGUUUUGGAUAUUAAGCCCUUAUCCGAUAUAGGGUUUGCAAGAAUCUUCUCCCCAGUUGUUAGGUUGUGUUUUGGUUUUGUGGAUGGUUUCCUUUGCGGUGCAGAGGAUUUUUUUUGACUUUGAUGUAGUCCCAUUUGUUCACUUUGUAUUUUGUUUCCAUUGCCCAGUCAGACGUGGUACUUGAAAAUAGGCUGCUAAGACUGAUGUCAAAGAGCCUACUGCCUAUGUUUUCUUGUAGAGGUUGCAUGGUUUCGGGUCUGACAUUCAAGUAAAAGCGGAGGGGGAGGCUGCAGUUCCCCGAGAG